GUACUCUCACACUCUAAUUAAAUUUGGAGACGUGGACUUGGGUGUUGCCGCUUUGCUGUGGCUCAUCUUAAAUAUGCUAGUGCAACUCCUAGUUGGAUAUAGUACAGCGUGAUAAGUAUCCUCGCUGGCACCUCAUGAAGAGGGUAUCCGAUUGAGGGCUCUGUGCUUCAAACUGUCCCGUCUGGGACAAUCUUUGACA
RNAcentral lists this unclassified non-coding RNA (199 nucleotides) under uncultured Sebacina. RNAcentral describes it as "sequence contains ITS2". Lineage: Eukaryota; Fungi; Basidiomycota; Agaricomycetes; Sebacinales; Sebacinaceae. The record is from RNAcentral.